GAUGAACGCUGGCGGCGUCCUUUCACAUGCAAGUCGAACGAACCUUCGGGUUAGUGGCGGACGGGUGAGUAACGCGUGAGAAUCUGCCCUCAGGAGGGGGAUAACGGUUGGAAACGACCGCUAAUACCCCAUAUGCCGAAAGGUGAAAUGAAUUUCGCCUGAGGAUGAGCUCGCGUCUGAUUAGCUUGUUGGUGAGGUAAUGGCUCACCAAGGCUUCGAUCAGUAGCUGGUCUGAGAGGAUGAUCAGCCACACUGGGACUGAGACACGGCCCAGACUCCUACGGGAGGCAGCAGUGGGGAAUUUUCCGCAAUGGGCGAAAGCCUGACGGAGCAACGCCGCGUGAGGGACGAAGGCCUCUGGGCUGUAAACCUCUUUUCUCAAGGAAGAAGAUAUGACGGUACUUGAGGAAUAAGCCACGGCUAAUUCCGUG
This 431-nucleotide ribosomal RNA is filed under the name uncultured bacterium. RNAcentral's name for it is "bacterial SSU rRNA". It matches the Rfam family "Bacterial small subunit ribosomal RNA", at positions 28 to 507 of the family's 1533-position model. The record is from RNAcentral.